UAGAUUUAGAUUAUAUUUGUAUUUCAGACUCUGGGCUCUGUAAAGAAGUCAUGGCAAGACAUUGCAUUUUAUAAGUCUGUUUUUCAUUUGUUUGUUUAAAGCAAUGUUCAAAUGCCUCCCUGAUAUUACUCUCUACUGUAUUUGUACAGAUUGUGGAUCAAAGAAGGAUUGUACCGUUUUUUUUGUUUUUGGAGUGGCUCCUCAUCCAGGUCUGGGUGAAAACUGAACACUGACACAACUGACAACUCACAUCAAGGUUCCCUCGCACUAGUUGGAUCUUUUGUUUCUUCUUUUGUAGUCUUCUCCCAGUGUUGGCACCAUGGGGGCCGGUGGUUAUUUGUACUACCGUACAACAAUUUUUUCCUCACUCUUUGUCGGGUAUGCCUUGUACUACUUCAACAGAAAAACAUUCUCUUUUGUGAUGCCUUCAGUCAUGGAGGAGAUUGAACUUGACAAAGAUGACCUUGGUUUAAUCUCCAGUAGCCAGACGCUGGCCUAUGCAAUUAGCAAAUUCAUUAGUGGAGUUCUUUCUGACCAAAUCAGUGCCCGCUGGCUGUUCUCUAUCGGACUCUUCAUAGUUGGAGCGAUCAACGUGCUCUUCUCAUGGUCUUCCACAGUCACUUUAUUUACAGUGCUGUGGUUUUUGAAUGGCCUUGGCCAAGGAUUUGGUUGGCCACCAUGUGGUAAAGUACUCCGGAAGUGGUUUGAGCCAUCUCAGUUUGGAACAUGGUGGGCUGUUCUGUCCUGCAGUAUGAACCUGGCUGGAGGAGUGGGUCCCAUCGUGGCCACGGUGUCGCUCCAAUACUACACCUGGAGGGGUGUUCUCCUUGUGUCUGGUCUAAUCUGCAUGGCCAUUGCCUUUCUGUGUCUUCUGUUCGUGAAGAAUGAACCCAGUGAUGUGGGCCUUCCAAACAUUGAGCCUGGGGCCAAAAAAGGCAAAGGAGGCACUCCAAAGGAUGAGAGCACCCUCAAAGACUUUCUUCUGUCCCCUUAUUUGUGGGUGUUGUCCUUGGGCUACCUGGUCGUGUUUGGUGUGAAGAUAGCAUGCACUGAAUGGGGCCAGCUCUUCCUCAUCCAAGAGAAAGGACAGUCAGUACUAAUGGGAAGUUCUUAUAUGAGUGCCUUGGAGGUGGGUGGAUUUAUUGGCAGCCUUGCAGCUGGUUUUCUGUCUGACAGAGCUGUUGCUCAGUAUGGACUGAGUACUCACGGUAGUCCCAGACACGGUCUUCUGUUCUCAAUGAUGACUGGGAUGUUUGUAUCCAUGUAUCUCUUCCGAGUGACAAUCACAGCAGAGUCCCCCAAAGAUGAUGCUCUCUGGGUUGUGGCUCUUCAUCCCAUCUCUCUUCUUAUUGGUCUUUCUGAAAAAGAGAUUUGGAUCCUUAUCCUUGGAGCUGCAUUUGGAUUCUCCUCUUAUGGACCCAUUGCCCUGUUUGGAGUGAUUGCAAGUGAAUCUGCACCAUCAAAUUUCUGUGGAACAUCACAUGCUAUUGUGGCUUUGAUGGCUAAUGGUAGGUAUCUUGGAUGUAUGCAGUUGGAGUAUGUCAGGAUUUCAAAAGAGGACCCAAUCGCAGAUCGAUCAAAGUAGGAUUUAUUCCACAAAAAACAGAGGAUCAAAAAGGCAAACACAAAAACAGGGCACACGACCACUGUAGGCUUCCACGCCGAAAAACACAAAAAGCUUCUGUAAGCUAACAGUUCAAAAAAGUACUCCUUCAAGGAGACUUCAGCAGGCAAAGUUACUUUCCAAAAAAAACACAGACAACUCACGGAACAGGGUAAGACAACAGUUGCGACAAUCCAACAGGGAACAUGAGGCAAGACAGGCUUAAAUAGGCAGGGUAAUCAUUGGGUACAGGUGAGGAGCAGAACAGGUGGAAACAGAACAAAGACAGGACAAGGGGCGGAGCACAUGGUAGCACAUGGCUACCACAACACAGGCACAUGGCUACCACAACAAAAACACAUGUCAAAACAGAAACAGAUGAGACAGAGUCCAAAUACUGACAGAGUAUGCAAUUAGGAUUUGAAAUCAAUCAAUCAAGGUAUAAUUUCAGACUAUAAAAUCCUAUUCAGUAAAACAUUUCCAUGAUCGCAAAGUUGCAUAUUUACGUAUCCACAGAGCAAGACAUAUCUGUCACCAGAAUUAGAUAGAUAGAUAGAUAUAUGGAUACUUUAUUAAUCCCGAGGGAAUAACACCUACAUAAGCAUACAGUCUCAUUUAAAUGAGCUAUUAAAAUAAUUCCAAUUGUACUUUAGACAUGUGUGCUAUCUAAAGCUUAGAUGAUUGCAUGCUGCAAGGUACUGAGUAAUAGAGAAAUCAUCUAUUGUGGUGAAGUCUAACCGUCUGGAUAUGCAAGUAUUGUCAGCACCACAACAGUGUAGCAGCCAAAAAAACACUGACAGCUACUUGGACAGAGACAGGGCUGAACAAGACAGGGCAGCAGACAUUUUGCAGAUGCUUUUGCAAAGGUUGAGUUGGUGGGCAUAUUUGACUGGUACUUUACCCUUAUGUUGUUGUGCCAAAGGUUGAGUUGGUGGGCAUAUUCGACCAGUACUUUACCCUUAUGUUGUUGUACCAAAGGUUGAGUUGGUGGGCAUAUUCGACUGGUCGCUUUAGUGCUGCAGUGGGCCAAAGUGCUGCACGAUUUUUAUUCCACUGGGGCUACACCGCUCUCCGUCCAACCCCCACCGUAGUACUUACUGCACGGAUCAUACUGCUCAGUGCACCAAGGUCACGUGAUCAAUCAGUGGUGGGCACAUAUAUGAAUAUACAUGAGUUUUUAUCAACUUAAGUGUUUUUUUAGCAUAACACAAUAAUAUAUUUUCAUAUGUUACGUAAUAUUUCAGCGCACAGACAACCGUAAGCACAGGCAGAAAUAUGGACAACCUUGGAGAUUUACCAGCUGCAGCCGAUCCAUAUAAUAUCAUCGUGUCAUUUUCACUUUCCACGCCACCUGCAGCCGAUCCAUAUAAUAUCAUCAUGUCAUUUUCACUUUCCACGUCACUACUGCCUUACAUUUCCUGUAAUAAAACGGCAGUGCACAGUGGGCUUCUCUUUCAUGAUCACGUGAUCAUGCUGUCAUACUCUACCAAAGGCCUUUUUCUUCUGUUCCACUGGUCAGGUUGAGUUGAGCACUUUUGGUUCACUGUGGCCUUAAGGUGCAGAGUUUUUAAUGUUUGAUUCAGCCCAUUAUUUGGAAGUUAUUUUAUGGUGCCAAAAGCCGGGAAGUUUAACUUCCGGGAUCUAGAAG
This is an RNA transcript of Clupea harengus (Atlantic herring), 3251 nucleotides long. It is a transcript of the gene named glucose-6-phosphate exchanger SLC37A4-like, with no coding region annotated. The record is from RefSeq and is a predicted model, not a curated record. The transcript has 9 exons. Lineage: Eukaryota; Metazoa; Chordata; Actinopteri; Clupeiformes; Clupeidae.